GGAAUUUUGGACAAUGGGCGAAAGCCUGAUCCAGCAAUGCCGCGUGAGUGAAGAAGGCCUUCGGGUUGUAAACCGCUUUUGUCAGGGAAGAAACGCUCUGGGCUAAUACCCCGGGGUAAUGACGGUACCUGAAGAAUAAGCACCGGCUAACUACGUGCCAGCAGCCGCGGUAAUACGUAGGGUGCAAGCGUUAAUCGGAAUUACUGGGCGUAAAGCGUGCGCAGGCGGUUAUGCAAGACAGAUGUGAAAUCCCCGGGCUCAACCUGGGAACUGCAUUUGUGACUGCAUAGCUAGAGUACGGUAGAGGGGGAUGGAAUUCCGCGUGUAGCAGUGAAAUGCGUAGAUAUGCGGAGGAACACCGAUGGCGAAGGCAAUCCCCUGGACCUGUACAGACGCUCAUGCACGAAAGCGUGGGGAGCAAAC
This 423-nucleotide ribosomal RNA is filed under the name uncultured bacterium. RNAcentral describes it as "bacterial SSU rRNA". It matches the Rfam family "Bacterial small subunit ribosomal RNA", at positions 358 to 773 of the family's 1533-position model. The record is from RNAcentral.